Molecule: long non-coding RNA, 1240 nt
Organism: Myotis brandtii (Brandt's bat)
Lineage: Eukaryota; Metazoa; Chordata; Mammalia; Chiroptera; Vespertilionidae
Exons: 4
Source: RefSeq, a predicted model, not a curated record
ACAAGACUGGAAGCAGGUGAGACGCGCAAGGGAAGGACUUCAAGCUGCGUGGAAAGAGGGGUGGCUUGGGGGACCCGGCACCUCGGGGAUGGGGCUGGUUUGCAGGUCAGCGCAUGGACAUCUGCCCAGAAAGCGACAAAGACGGCGAAGUUUGACGGUCUGGAAAGCAGAGACCAGCGGGGCUGACUACCUGGGAGCACGGAGACUCCGGACAGCGCCUCUCGGGGUCCAGGGAGGGAACCGCGACCUGCUUCAGCACACGCGUCUGGACAGCUCCCAGCAGGUCCCGGCCGGCUUCAUUGCAGCCGCAGGGCACGGACGGCUCCCCAGAUGAGAUGACACGGCACACAGAAGUCUGUAAUGCCCAACAGGUACGAUGAUCAAGCUGUAGGGCUGUGGGGGAAUGGGUGCCUGCCAACAUGACAUUAUUGUGCUCUUUCUAGACUUCUUUGAGAAACAUUGGGUUAGUCAUUUUACAUACAUUAUGUCAUGCCAUCUUCAACUUCAGGACAUGGGAGUUAUUACAUCCAGGUGACCGUUGAGGACACUGAGACCCGGAGAGGGACAGGUCAAGGGGUCUCAGGCCAAGGGUGAAUCUGCAAGUCAACCCCACAUCCUGCCAACUCCAAAUUCCAUGCUUCAUGGGUGGGAGUUGGGCCCUUGGAGAUCAGCUCCUUCCUCUCCCCAGGAGGACCAGGAAUGGAAGACAGGAGGUGGUGGAGAAGCAAGAAGCCCAUAUGCUACAACUUGGCUCAGUUCCAUGGACCAACUACAGGACAGGUGUAAACUUGUGCCCGGUAGGUGAGUUGUGGCAUCAGCGAGGGGUCACCCCCAGUUCUCUGCGACAUCCUAAUCAAGUCGAGGACACCACAUUGAAGUCAUUCCAGCCUCAGAGCCUUGGUCUUUGCUGCUCCCUCAUCUUGGAAUGCUCUGCCUCCCAGAGCACCCUACGGGCUCCCUCUCCCUUCUUAUCCCAGCCUCAUUUCACCAAGGGAAACUUUCCUUGCUGCCUCACCACCCACCUCAUCAAGUCUGUGUUAUACACUCUCAUAGACCUGGGAUGUCUUCUCUCCAGCACUUACUCCGAUUAUUGUUAACUGUUCACAGGACUGUGUCACCCCCAUUACACUGUGAGCUCCAUGAGGGCAGAGACUGCGUUUGUGUUUUUCACUGCCGUGGCCCCAGCACCUAACCAGGGCCUGGCACACAGCAGGCGCUCAAUAAACAUUGGUUGAAUCAA